UCACGUCAAGGUACUGCAGAAAAAAGAAAUGCAAAAUCCAAUCCAAUUUUUUGUAAUCGAUUAGUUAACAUGGUGGUUAACCAUAUUAUGAAAGACGGAAAAAGUCAUUGGCUUAUCAAAUUCUCUAUCGAGCCGUGAAAAAGAUUCAACAAAAGAUAGAAACAAAUCCACUAUUGGUUUUACGUCAAGCAAUACAUAGAGUAA
Molecule: ribosomal RNA, 204 nt
Filed under: Triticum aestivum (bread wheat)
Lineage: Eukaryota; Viridiplantae; Streptophyta; Magnoliopsida; Poales; Poaceae
Description: partial small subunit ribosomal RNA
Source: RNAcentral